This is a long non-coding RNA of Lolium perenne, 406 nucleotides long. RefSeq lists it as uncharacterized. The record is from RefSeq and is a predicted model, not a curated record. NCBI's taxonomy places the organism in Eukaryota, Viridiplantae, Streptophyta, Magnoliopsida, Poales, Poaceae.
GGGUCAUACGUCUGCGCACAUUAUCUUCUUUAUUAUUGGCUCUAUUGGGAUCGAUGUCUAUAAAUACGGCCUUGAGAAUCUGCACUGGACCAGGAUAUUCACAUACUGUAUCUUAGAUCGUCAGAGGUUUAAUUAGCAAAGCCAGCCAAAAGGGGCUCUCUGAUCGAUGGGGUCCUUCGCCAGAGCAGCUCGUUUCCUGGUACUCCUUCAGAUCGCGCUGUUCGUCGUCUCCGCUGUCAUCAUGAGCGGCUCCGUCUGCCAAGGAGCCCGAGGGAUCAGUGGUGGCGCUAUGGACCCUAACCGUCCUGCAGUGUGCAUCAACGGAUCGUGCGGACGUGGUGAUCCCUAUACUGGUCGACCGUGCAGUGUAAAGUACAGGUGCAUACCACCGGCUGUUAAGCCAUAA